RNAcentral lists this unclassified non-coding RNA (208 nucleotides) under fungal sp. RNAcentral describes it as "partial internal transcribed spacer region". The stretch from base 1 to 46 matches the Rfam family "Eukaryotic small subunit ribosomal RNA", at positions 1786 to 1831 of the family's 1831-position model. The record is from RNAcentral. Lineage: Eukaryota; Fungi.
AAGUCGUAACAAGGUUUCCGUAGGUGAACCUGCGGAAGGAUCAUUAAUAGUAUUGGUUGGCUGAGGGCGCGAAAGCGGCCUCAGUCUGGUUCUUGGCGUUAGCCAAGGACUGUGGCAGACACCCGCGAGGGUGGCUGUGAAACAAUGAGAUUUGAGACUAAUAUAUCUAUACGAAAUACAACUUUUAACAAUGGAUCUCUUGGCUCCU